GGGAUCCUGAGGCUGACCGGUAUUUCAGAAGUACCCUUUUCAGCCCCCUUAUUGCUGGUAGUAGGUGGGGAUAGCAAAGGUAGGGAGGGCCGUGGGACAAGCCCCUGGAUUGAAUGUUUCUGGCCUUCGGCAGUCUGGGAUGUGGCAUUGGCUAUGGGUAUCUACACCGGAUCCCAACUCAGCCCCCCAGCUACCACAAGAAGCCACCUGGCACCCCACCACCUUCUGCUCUACCACUUGGUGCCCCACCACCUGAUGCUCUACCACCUGGACCCACCCCCGAGGACUCUCCUUCCCUGGAGACAGGUUCCAGGCAGAGUGACUACAUGGAGGCCCUGCUGCAGGCACCUGGCUCCUCCAUGGAGGAUCCCCUUCCUGGGCCUGGGAGUCCCAGCCACAGU
RNAcentral lists this small RNA (401 nucleotides) under Pan troglodytes (chimpanzee). Its description in RNAcentral is "processed transcript". Lineage: Eukaryota; Metazoa; Chordata; Mammalia; Primates; Hominidae. The record is from RNAcentral.